This 1448-nucleotide ribosomal RNA is filed under the name uncultured marine bacterium. RNAcentral's name for it is "16S ribosomal RNA". It matches the Rfam family "Bacterial small subunit ribosomal RNA". The record is from RNAcentral.
GAGUUUGAUCAUGGCUCAGAACGAACGCUGGCGGCAGGCCUAACACAUGCAAGUCGAGCGCAGUAGCAAUACUGAGUGGCAAACGGGUGAGUAUAAUGUGGGAAUCUGCCUUUUGGUUUGGAAUAACACGAGGAAACUUGUGCUAAUACCGGAUAAGUCUUUACGGAGAAAGCUUUAUGCACCAUUGGAUGAGCCCGCACUUGAUUAGUUUGUUGGUAGGGUAAUGGCCUACCAAGACUAUGAUCAAUAGCUGAUUUGAGAGGAUGAUCAGCCACAUUGGGACUGAGACACGGCCCAAACUCCUACGGGAGGCAGCAGUGGGGAAUCUUGCACAAUGGAGGAAACUCUGAUGCAGCGAUGCCGCGUGAGUGAAGAAGGCCUUUGGGUUGUAAAGCUCUUUCGUCGGGGAAGAAAAUGACUGUACCCGAAUAAGAAGGUCCGGCUAACUUCGUGCCAGCAGCCGCGGUAAUACGAAGGGACCUAGCGUAGUUCGGAAUUACUGGGCUUAAAGAGUUCGUAGGUGGUUGAAAAAGUUGGUGGUGAAAUCCCAGAGCUUAACUCUGGAACUGCCAUCAAAACUUUUCAGCUAGAGUAUGAUAGAGGAAAGCAGAAUUUCUAGUGUAGAGGUGAAAUUCGUAGAUAUUAGAAAGAAUACCAAUUGCGAAAGGCAGCUUUCUGGAUCAUUACUGACACUGAGGAACGAAAGCAUGGGUAGCGAAGAGGAUUAGAUACCCUCGUAGUCCAUGCCGUAAACGAUGUGUGUUAGACGUUGGAAAUUUAUUUUCAGUGUCGCAGGGAAACCGAUAAACACACCGCCUGGGGAGUACGACCGCAAGGUUAAAACUCAAAUGAAUUGACGGGGACCCGCACAAGUAGUGGAGCAUGUGGUUUAAUUCGAAGAUACGCGCAGAACCUUACCAACACUUGACAUGUUCGUCGCGACUCUAAGAGAUUAGAGUUUUCGGUUCGGCCGGACGAAACACAGGUGCUGCAUGGCUGUCGUCAGCUCGUGUCGUGAGAUGUUGGGUUAAGUCCCGCAACGAGCGCAACCCUCACUUUUAGUUGCCAUCAUUAAGUUGGGCACUCUGAAAGAACUGCCAGUGAUAAGCUGGAGGAAGGUGGGGAUGACGUCAAGUCCUCAUGGCCCUUACGUGUUGGGCUACACACGUGCUACAAUGGCAUCUACAACAGGAAGCAAAACGGCAACAUUAAGCAAAUCCCGAAAAGAUGCCUCAGUUCGGAUUGCACUCUGCAACUCGAGUACAUGAAGGUGGAAUCGCUAGUAAUCGCUGGUCAGCAUACAGCGGUGAAUACGUUCCCGGGUCUUGUACACACUGCCCGUAACACCAUGGAAGUCGACCCUUCCCUAAGUCGUUACUCGAACCUGUAAAGGACGAGGACGCCGAAGGCAGAGUUGGUGACUAGGGUGAAGUCGUAACAAGGUAACC